Molecule: ribosomal RNA, 401 nt
Filed under: uncultured bacterium
Lineage: Bacteria
Description: bacterial SSU rRNA
Rfam family: Bacterial small subunit ribosomal RNA
Source: RNAcentral
AACGAACGUUGGCGGCGUGGAUGAGGCAUGCAAGUCGAACGCGAAAGCCGCAAGGCGAGUAAAGUGGCGGACGGGCGAGUAACACGUAAUCAAGCUACCUGUGAGACGGGGAUAACUUCGGGAAACCGAAGCUAAGAUCCGAUGGCCUUAGGAGACCGCAUGGUUUCCUAAGUAAAUGGGCGGGACCUUUCGGGGUCGCCUGCUCGCAGAGGUGAUUGCGGCCCAUCAGCUAGUUGGUAGGGUAAUGGCCUACCAAGGCAACGACGGGUAGCCGGCCUUAGAGGGUGGUCGGCCGCACUGGGACUGAGACACUGCCCAGACUCCUACGGGAGGCUGCAGUCGAGAAUCUUCCGCAAUGGGCGAAAGCCUGACGGAGCGACGCCGCGUGGAGGAUGAAGGCC